GCCCCUUUAGCUCAGUGGUAGAGCGUUUGACUUGUAAUCAAAAGGUCGAUAGUUCAAUCCUGUCAGGGGGCA
Molecule: transfer RNA, 72 nt
Filed under: Monascus purpureus
Lineage: Eukaryota; Fungi; Ascomycota; Eurotiomycetes; Eurotiales; Aspergillaceae
Rfam family: tRNA
About the family: Transfer RNA (tRNA) molecules are approximately 80 nucleotides in length. Their secondary structure includes four short double-helical elements and three loops (D, anti-codon, and T loops).
Source: Rfam by way of RNAcentral